GAUGAAGAACGUAGCGAAAUGCGAUAAGUAAUGUGAAUUGCAGAAUUCAGUGAAUCAUCGAAUCUUUGAACGCACCUUGCGCCCUUUGGACAUUCCGAAGGGCAUGCCUGUUUGAGUAUCAUGAACACCUCAACUCUCACGGCUUGUCCGUGAUGAGCUUGGACUUUGGGGGUCUUGCCGGCCUGUGGUCGGCUCCUCUCAAAUGGAUCAGCUUGCCAGUGUUUGGUGGCAUCACGGGUGUGAUAACUAUCUGCGCUUGUGGUUUUCCAUCAGAUAACCUUCAGUGAUAUGGAGGUUCGCUGGAGCUCACAAAUGUCUCUCCUUAGUGAGGACAGCUCUUUGAACGUUUGAUCUCAAAUCAGGUAGGACUACCCGCUGAACUUAAGCAUAUCAAUAAGCGGAGGA
This 405-nucleotide unclassified non-coding RNA is filed under the name soil metagenome. RNAcentral describes it as "partial contains 5.8S ribosomal RNA, internal transcribed spacer 2, and large subunit ribosomal RNA". The stretch from base 1 to 121 matches the Rfam family "5.8S ribosomal RNA", at positions 35 to 154 of the family's 154-position model. The record is from RNAcentral.